CAGGCGGUAGCUCAAUCGGUAGAGCAUCUGGCGCGUUGAAAACCACCGCCGCCCAGUUCUCGGGCGCCCCUUUUUCUUCCCUUUCCGAUGCGCAGGCCGGAGUUACUUCGGUCGAAUCAGGUUCGAGUCCUGCCGGCCCUU
This 141-nucleotide transfer RNA is filed under the name Actinomadura kijaniata. RNAcentral describes it as "tRNA-OTHER". Lineage: Bacteria; Bacillati; Actinomycetota; Actinomycetes; Streptosporangiales; Thermomonosporaceae. The record is from RNAcentral.